This 217-nucleotide long non-coding RNA is filed under the name Musa acuminata (dwarf banana). Its description in RNAcentral is "long non-coding RNA (MACU_LNC009483)". The record is from RNAcentral. Lineage: Eukaryota; Viridiplantae; Streptophyta; Magnoliopsida; Zingiberales; Musaceae.
UGAAGAGUAUGGGCUGCAACAUGGCCGAAUAACUCUUGUUUUGAGCAUCUCUUUUACAAUCCUUUCUAUUUCAUCCUUCUGGAGAUGUGGAUACUGAUAUGGCUAAGCAUUUGUUGGAGAUUUGCCUAGAAGAAUUGUUAUACAAUGAUCAUGCCGACGGGUAAGAGGUAGGUUGCGCGGUUCGUCAAAUAUAUCUAAAAAUUCAGCAAGCAAAGGA